CAUCAGCUGUGCGUCUCAUACAAAGGGGGAGACCGAGUGGGUUGUCAAGUGGGAAAUUAGACCAGAAAACCAAUGGACACACAGGCAGGGGAAGGUAAGAGCCCAGAUAAAGAAACAUUAAGUGCUCCAGACCCCAGGAGAAGACACAGCAUUAGAGAGCCUCCAUAUCUGUCUAGCAAAACUCAGGAGGUGAGGAUUGUGUUGCUGGGGAACACUGGAGAGAGUAAGAGCCUCUGUGGAGACAUAAUUUUGGGCACCCUCCCAGCUUCAGAAAGGCACCUCUCUCCACACAAGUAUGAGAAAUGUGAUGGGACUGUGGGUGGGAGGAAUCUUACAGUAAUCAACACGGCGGACCUGCUUAAUGCCCGGCUUUCUCAAGAGGAACGCUCCCAGGGGCUAAAGUGUUGCAUGAGCUUAUCUGCUCCAGGACCCCAUGUGUUCCUGUUUGUUCUGCAGCGAGGGGGACCCUCACAAGAGGACAGGGAUGCUCUGAGGCAGGUCCAAGAGUGUUUUGGUGAAGGAGGAUUAAAAUACACAAUGGUGCUGUUCAUUAGUGAAGACCAAGAGGACUAUGUCAGCAUUGGCAACCCAUUUGUAGCAGGUGAUGAAGCUCUUCAUGACUUUAUCCAAGGUUGUGGGGGCAGGUGUCAUCUCUUUAACAGUAAGAGAGGCCACACUCAAGUAACUGAGCUCCUGGAUAAGAUAGACGUUAUGCUGGAAGGAAACGGAGGAAGUCACUUCACUAAGGAUAUUUUUAAGGAUUUUAAAGACGCCCAGAGACAAGGAGAAGAGAUAAAAAGAGAGGAAAUAGCUUGGGAUCCAGUGUUUCGGAAGAGAACAGUUACCAUGGAACCAUCACAAU
This is a long non-coding RNA of Megalops cyprinoides (Indo-Pacific tarpon), 862 nucleotides long. RefSeq lists it as uncharacterized. NCBI's taxonomy places the organism in Eukaryota, Metazoa, Chordata, Actinopteri, Elopiformes, Megalopidae. The transcript is spliced from 4 exons. The record is from RefSeq and is a predicted model, not a curated record.